This 381-nucleotide unclassified non-coding RNA is filed under the name Hevea brasiliensis (rubber tree). The record is from RNAcentral. Lineage: Eukaryota; Viridiplantae; Streptophyta; Magnoliopsida; Malpighiales; Euphorbiaceae.
CCAAAAUACAAGCUCAUUCUGUGACAAGAAAUGCGCUUUCUCUUCUCUCUCAUUAUGAGAACCCUUUCUCAAUUCACCUUUCUGCUUCUGUUUCUGUUUUCUUGCACCACCUUCACUAGCACAGAGGCCUAUGAUGCUCUUGACCCAAAUGGGAAUAUCACAAUCAAAUGGGAUAUUAUGAGCUGGACGCCUGAUGGAUAUGUUGCUGUUGUUUCAAUCUACAACUUCCAGCAAUAUCGUCACAUUGAAGCACCGGGGUGGACAUUAGGAUGGACAUGGGCAAAGAAGGAGGUAAUAUGGAGCAUGGUGGGAGGUCAAACAACAGAGCAGGGAGACUGUUCAAGAUUCAAAGGAAACAUUCCACAUUGCUGUAAGAAAAAA